This 455-nucleotide ribosomal RNA is filed under the name Axis axis (chital). Its description in RNAcentral is "partial 16S ribosomal RNA". It matches the Rfam family "Bacterial large subunit ribosomal RNA", at positions 1984 to 2610 of the family's 2925-position model. Lineage: Eukaryota; Metazoa; Chordata; Mammalia; Artiodactyla; Cervidae. The record is from RNAcentral.
GGACUUGUAUGAAUGGCCACACGAGGGUUUUACUGUCUCUUGCUUCCAAUCAGUGAAAUUGACCUUCCCGUGAAGAGGCGGGAAUACAUUAAUAAGACGAGAAGACCCUAUGGAGCUUUAACUACUUGACCCAAAGAAAUAAAUUUCAUCGCUAAGGAAACAACAACACUCUUCAUGGGCCAACAGCUUUGGUUGGGGUGACCUCGGAGAAGAGAACAAGAAAUCCUCCGAGCGAUUUUAAAGACUAGACCUACAAGUCGAAUCACACAAUCGUUUAUUGAUCCAAAAAAUUGAUCAACGGAACAAGUUACCCUAGGGAUAACAGCGCAAUCCUAUUCAAGAGUCCAUAUCGACAAUAGGGUUUACGACCUCGAUGUUGGAUCAGGACAUCCCGAUGGUGCAACCGCUAUCAAAGGUUCGUUUGUUCAACGAUUAAAGUCCUACGUGAUCUGAGU